AACGUAGGUUCCGAGCGUUAUCCGGAUUUACUGGGCGUAAAGCGCGUUCAGGCGGUUCGGCAAGUCGGGCAUGAAAUCUCUCGGCUCAACCGGGAGAGGUUGUCCGAUACUGUUGGACUUGAGGGCAGUAGAGGGUGGUGGAAUUCCGGGUGUAGUGGUGAAAUGCGUAGAUAUCCGGAGGAACACCAGUGGCGAAGGCGGCUCACUGGCCCGGUACUGACGCUGAGGUGCGAAAGCGUGGGGAGCAAACAGG
RNAcentral lists this ribosomal RNA (253 nucleotides) under uncultured bacterium. RNAcentral's name for it is "partial 16S ribosomal RNA". It matches the Rfam family "Bacterial small subunit ribosomal RNA", at positions 524 to 776 of the family's 1533-position model. The record is from RNAcentral.